UGGCUCUCCUGUCUUCGGGUAGGAGAGCUGGGGGAAAGCGGCGGACGGGUGAGUAACACGUAGGUAACCUGCCCCGAAGUGGGGGAUAACCAUCCGAAAGGGUGGCUAAUACCGCAUGUGCUCUGCGGGCUGGGAGGCCUGUGGAGUAAAGCUCCGGCGCUUCGGGAGGGGCCUGCGGCCGAUUAGCUAGUUGGUGGGGUAACGGCCCACCAAGGCGAUGAUCGGUAGCUGGUCUGAGAGGACGAUCAGCCACACGGGAACUGAGACACGGUCCCGACUCCUACGGGGGGCAGCAGUGAGGAAUAUUGGACAAUGGGCGCAAGCCUGAUCCAGCAACGCCGCGUGGAGGAAGAAGGCCUUCGGGUUGUAAACUCCUUUUCUGGGGGAAGAGGAAGGACGGUACCCCAGGAAUAAGACACGGCUAACUACGUGCCAGCAGCCGCGGUAACACGUAGGUGUCGAGCGUUAUCCGGAAUUACUGGGCGU
RNAcentral lists this ribosomal RNA (486 nucleotides) under uncultured bacterium. RNAcentral describes it as "bacterial SSU rRNA". It matches the Rfam family "Bacterial small subunit ribosomal RNA", at positions 67 to 561 of the family's 1533-position model. The record is from RNAcentral.